GGAGACACUCUGGGAGCCCAGCUGAGCGGUGCUUGGUGUCAUAGCAAACACAAUUAGCAAAAUGGCAUCCAGAGUGGCUUUAUGGAGUUGCCCGGUGAUAAUCAUCUCAACAAAAAAUUGAAGAGAGCCAACAAUAGGAAGAGAAAGCAGUGACUAAAAGAAGAAUCAAGAACAAAGCAAAAGAGUGAAAAUACUUACCAAGAUGAUGCCUUUGAAUAUUCCUUCCCUACCCUAGUCACAUGCCGUUCAGCUCAGAAACCAGUGAUCCCUGCUUGAUAAGCUGGCCUUACAUCUUCAUCUCCAAAUAAAUACCAUUAAACAGUGGUUGAAAACUGCUUUAGCCUUCAGGUCUCUGAUCAUGGAUGCUCUCCCAGCACCUACCAGCCAUGACCACUUGAAAUGAGCAAAAGAUAAAUGCUUGCAUGAAUGAGAUUAUCGUCAGCAAAAGCCAACAUGUGGAGGCCGAGGACAAAACUGAGCAACAUGGUCUGCUGCUUUCAGAGAUUGGAAAUGCUAGCAAGAGGAAUGAUAUACAUCGUGUGAUAAAAGAAGAGUACAGAAAUAUCCACCAACAGCUAUUAAACGCAGCUGUCUCAUGGCAAAACUGAAGGGCUCCACUGGAAAAUGUAUAACACUUCCAACCCCCAGAGGGUGGGAAGAGAGUCAGAAUCCAGAGAGAUCUUAAGAGGGAGACAUGACUGGGACCAGAUACUACGAGUAGAAGGUGAUCGGUGGGCCUCUACAGUCCUAAAAAGAGCUGAGAAUGUGGACUGUUAUCCUCUGUGAGCAGUAUUUAAGUGAUAAGACUCCUUGUUCUAGAAGACUUGCAGGAGGAAGGGUAGGGCAUCUUGGUUUCCUGCCAAAGAGGGAUCCAGAAUUGGCUUCAUCUUACAGGGGACCAGUGACUAGAACGAGAAACUGUCAAAACUAGGAAAAGGCCCCAGGCUGUCCUUGGUGUGGGUGUCUCCACUGCAGUAGGCAGGAGUAGAAGGGGAGAAGCCAGGAGUUCAGAGCACUUCAGGCACCCAGAGACCCUUGGGAAUUCCCUGUCAUCUCAUGUUCUGCAAAUGGAGGCCUCACUGGAGGCCAGAGCCUGGAUGCCAAGCCAGGGAGGAGAAUGUUCAUUUCCAGUUCUCCUAGGAGAGCUGGGGCACAGAGGGGAGCAGCUGAGACAUCAGCAGUCCAGAAGUGAUCCUGAAGCACAUACUGGACAACUACAGAGCUGAGAUGCUUAUUGUUUGCACUAUUAUUUGUGGAGGGAGCUAGAGCAGUGGGCUCGCUAGUACACGUGGUCUAUCUGCUCUACAAGAAUACACUAGAAAGCAAUGAUAGCUAUGCUCCAGAGUGAGAAAGACAAGAGUUGAGGAGAAGCACUCACAUGUGUCUGGAGGCUGAGUUGUACACUCAGAUCUUAUUCAGACCAAACCAACAGGGUGGGAACAACCCACUGGGUUUUUUUUUUUUUUCCUUUUUUACGUAAAUUUUACUGUACUUAGAAUAAUCAUCCUAGGUAAGUGAAGAGUUGAUAAAUGAACUCAAUCUGCAGGGUCUUGUAAGAGCAGAGCUGUGCAUAAUUACACGAUUGCCCUGGGGGCUGUGCUUUAUUCUACUGAGUAGAAAAGGCAAUGCCCUGUGAAACGGGAAGCCAGGGCUCUUGUGGCUUAGCAAAAGGAAAAAAUAUCAUCCCACCCUUGGCUUCCUUUCCUUUGUCAUGGAGCUGCCAGAGAAACUCCCAAAAGAGAAGCACAGUAUUCUCCACUCCAAUUGAAUGAGUCUAGCCAUUACCCUUUGAGACGCGGUAGGACGUUUUUCUAUGCAUGCAUAUACUGCAGCUGUAAAAGGGCUAUUGAUUCAGUUUAGAUGCAACGUAAGACGAUUCAGAAUCCAGGGAAAAGACAGAAAAUCACAAUGAAAAGGAGUGAAUAUAAGUGAAGAUAAAUGAAAUCAAAAUCCCAAAGAUGGGAGGAAGCAGUCAAAGAAAGAAUUUUAUAUCAUCCACCAUCAUUAGCUGUACAUUUCCCCCUUCCUGUGCUGUGUUCUUGCAUGACAUAAAUUAUUUUCUCAGUUCUA
Molecule: long non-coding RNA, 2070 nt
Organism: Cavia porcellus (domestic guinea pig)
Lineage: Eukaryota; Metazoa; Chordata; Mammalia; Rodentia; Caviidae
Exons: 7
Source: RefSeq, a predicted model, not a curated record